This 208-nucleotide long non-coding RNA is filed under the name Elaeis guineensis (African oil palm). Its description in RNAcentral is "long non-coding RNA (EGUI_LNC026143)". Lineage: Eukaryota; Viridiplantae; Streptophyta; Magnoliopsida; Arecales; Arecaceae. The record is from RNAcentral.
AUGCUGUCAUCCUAACUUGAGCUUGUUGUCGAACUUUCGAAAGUAAGUCUAGAUUGGCUCUCCGACAUUCUGAAUUACUCGGCUUAUUAUAUUAUUCCACUCUUGCUGAUGGCAAUCCGAUAUCAAGUGCAAUCAUCACCUCUGUUUCAUAGACCCGAUUGAAUGGCGAUUCUCUCAUCGGUAUGCGAGGAGUUGUCUGAUAUGCCCA